RNAcentral lists this ribosomal RNA (332 nucleotides) under uncultured Desulfuromonas sp. RNAcentral describes it as "bacterial SSU rRNA". It matches the Rfam family "Bacterial small subunit ribosomal RNA", at positions 568 to 898 of the family's 1533-position model. The record is from RNAcentral. Lineage: Bacteria; Pseudomonadati; Thermodesulfobacteriota; Desulfuromonadia; Desulfuromonadales; Desulfuromonadaceae.
UAGGUAGGUGGUCUCAUUUGUCCGGGGUGAAAUCCUUGAGCUUAACUCAAGAAGUGCCCCGGAAACGGUGAGACUCGAGUACUGGAGAGGGUCGUGGAAUUCCCGGUGUAGCGGUGAAAUGCGUAGAGAUCGGGAGGAACACCAGAGGCGAAGGCGGCGACCUGGACAGUUACUGACACUCAACUACGAAAGCGUGGGGAGCAAACAGGAUUAGAUACCCUGGUAGUCCACGCCGUAAACGAUGGGUACUAGGCUUGGCGGGUCUUGACCCCUGCCGAGCCGGCGCUAACGCAAUAAGUACCCCGCCUGGGAAGUACGGUCGCAAGACUAAA